RNAcentral lists this ribosomal RNA (443 nucleotides) under uncultured bacterium. RNAcentral's name for it is "partial 16S ribosomal RNA". It matches the Rfam family "Bacterial small subunit ribosomal RNA", at positions 338 to 795 of the family's 1533-position model. The record is from RNAcentral.
CCUACGGGAGGCAGCAGUGGGGAAUAUUGGGCAAUGGGCGCAAGCCUGACCCAGCAACGCCGCGUGAAGGAAGAAGGCUUUCGGGUUGUAAACUUCUUUUCUCAGGGACGAAGCAAGUGACGGUACCUGAGGAAUAAGCCUCGGCUAACUACGUGCCAGCAGCCGCGGUAAUACGUAGGUGGCAAGCGUUAUCCGGAUUUACUGGGUGUAAAGGGCGUGUAGGCGGGAAAGCAAGUCAGAUGUGAAAACCAUGGGCUCAACCUGUGGCCUGCAUUUGAAACUGUUUUUCUUGAGUACUGGGGAGGCAGACGGAAUUCCUAGUGUAGCGGUGAAAUGCGUAGAUAUUAGGAGGAACACCAGUGGCGAAGGCGGUCUGCUGGACAGCAACUGACGCUGAGGCGCGAAAGCGUGGGUAUCAAACAGGAUUAGAUACCCCAGUAGUC